AUACGGAGGAUGCAAGCGUUAUCCGGAUUUAUUAGGUUUAAAGGGUGCGUAGGUGGGCGUUUAAGUCAGUGGUUAAAGCCAAUAGCUUAACUAUUGUAUGCCAUUGAAACUGGAUGUCUUGAAUAGGGUAGAGGUAGGCGGAAUGUGUUGUGUAGCGGUGAAAUGCUUAGAUAUAACACAGAACACCGAUUGCGAAGGCAGCUUACUAUGCCUUUAUUGACACUGAUGCACGAAAGCGUGGGGAUCAAACAGGAUUAGAUACCCUGGUAGUCCACGCUGUAAACGAUGAUCACUCGUUUUUGGCAAUACAUCGUCAGAGACUAAGCGAAAGCAUUAAGUGAUCCACCUGGGGAGUACGUUCGCAAGAAUGAA
This 372-nucleotide ribosomal RNA is filed under the name uncultured bacterium. RNAcentral describes it as "bacterial SSU rRNA". It matches the Rfam family "Bacterial small subunit ribosomal RNA", at positions 523 to 898 of the family's 1533-position model. The record is from RNAcentral.